GAUCAUGGCUCAGGAUGAACGCUAGCGACAGGCUUAACACAUGCAAGUCGAGGGGCAUUAUGAGGUAGCAAUACCUUGAUGGCGACCGGCGCACGGGUGAGUAACGCGUAUGCAACCUGCCCGAUACCGGGGUAUAGCCCAUGGAAACGUGGAUUAACACCCCAUAGUACUUUUAUCCUGCAUGGGAUGGGAGUUAAAUGUUCAAGGUAUCGGAUGGGCAUGCGUCCUAUUAGUUAGUUGG
This 241-nucleotide ribosomal RNA is filed under the name uncultured bacterium. RNAcentral's name for it is "partial 16S ribosomal RNA". It matches the Rfam family "Bacterial small subunit ribosomal RNA", at positions 15 to 252 of the family's 1533-position model. The record is from RNAcentral.